RNAcentral lists this long non-coding RNA (597 nucleotides) under Marmota monax (woodchuck). The record is from RNAcentral. Lineage: Eukaryota; Metazoa; Chordata; Mammalia; Rodentia; Sciuridae.
GCUUGUUUAGGCUCAUGACUUACAGUGCUGUUGGCUAUGAGUUAAUGUCAAUAAAUUAACAAUAUAUAUUGAAUAGGUAUUUUAAAAUAGUAUUACUGGUUGGUAGAAGAAAAUGUGAUCAAUCUGUCAGGAAUCUAACUGUAUUUCCUUAGGGAUAAUGAUUCAGAAUUUGCUAAUUCAGCAUCCCCUGCAAUUUUAUCAAAUGUAAGUAUGGCAGAUAAUGUGAAUCGACUGCUUUCAGGGUAAAUGUGACUUUUGGGAAAUGGCCAAAGUCAUUUAUGGCCAGGACUGAGGAGUUUGAUGGGAAUGGUUAAAUUAAGCAAAACAGUAUGAUUAUUAAGUAGUCUUUCUCAGAGUUUUGUUUUCUACCAAGGAUUGAACACAGGGGUGUGUAACCACUCAGCUACAUCCCCAGCUCUGUUUAUUUAUUUGGAGACAGAGUGUCCCUAAGUUACUUAGAUCCUUGGUAAAUUGCUAAGGCUGGCCUUGAAUUUUCAGUCCACCUGCCUUACCCUCCCAAGUCUCUGGGAUUACAGACAUGUGCCACCAUACCCAGCUUUGUCAGUUUUUUUUGUAACGUAUGUACUGUCUUUUGAU